This 262-nucleotide ribosomal RNA is filed under the name uncultured bacterium. Its description in RNAcentral is "partial 16S ribosomal RNA". It matches the Rfam family "Bacterial small subunit ribosomal RNA", at positions 514 to 775 of the family's 1533-position model. The record is from RNAcentral.
GCCGCGGUAAUACGUAGGGGGCGAGCGGUGUCCGGAUUUAUUGGGCGUAAAGGGCGUGUAGGCGGCCUUGUAAGUCGGAGGUGAAAACCUAGGGCUCAACCCUGGGACUGCCUCCGAUACUGUGAGGCUUGAGUGCUCUAGAGGGCAGUGGAAUUCCCGGUGUAGCAGUGAAAUGCGUAGAUAUCGGGAGGAACACCAGUGGCGAAGGCGACUGCCUGGGGAGCAACUGACGCUGAGGCGCGAAAGCUGGGGGAGCGAACGG